RNAcentral lists this ribosomal RNA (486 nucleotides) under uncultured bacterium. Its description in RNAcentral is "partial 16S ribosomal RNA". It matches the Rfam family "Bacterial small subunit ribosomal RNA", at positions 29 to 507 of the family's 1533-position model. The record is from RNAcentral.
AUUGAACGCUGGCGGCAUGCCUUACACAUGCAAGUCGAACGGCAGCACGGGUGCUUCCACCUGGUGGCGGGGGGCGCACGGGUGCGUAAUACAUCUAAAACUGUCCUGACGUGGGCGAUAGCCCUGCGAAAGCCGGAUUAAUACUGCCUACGCUCCACGGAUGCAAGCGGGGGACGUUCGUGCUUGGAGCUGUCGCGCUGGCCGAUGGCUGAGUAGCUGGUUGGUGGGGUAAUGGCCUACCAAUGCGACGAUCACUAGCGGGUCUGAGAGGGCGAGCAUCCACACUGGGACUGAGACACGGCCCAGACUCCUACGGGAGGCAGCAGUGGGGAAUUGUGGACAAUGGGCGAAAGCCUGAUCCAGCAAUGCCGCGGGGGUGAAGAAGGCCUUCGGGUUGGAAAGCACUUUUGUUCGGAAAGAAAACCAGGACUCUAAUACAGUCGGGUGAUGACGGUACCGGAAGAAUAAGCACCGGCUAACUACGUG